Gastrolobium bilobum is the source of this 3006-nucleotide long non-coding RNA. RefSeq lists it as uncharacterized. NCBI's taxonomy places the organism in Eukaryota, Viridiplantae, Streptophyta, Magnoliopsida, Fabales, Fabaceae. The record is from RefSeq and is a predicted model, not a curated record. The transcript is spliced from 2 exons.
AAUUUUUUCUUGCAUUUGUGGACAUGCUAAGUCAGCCCUUGCAUCCUCAUACGGCCAAUGGUGAUAGAGCAACUCACCUGCAUAUUCUUUCCAUUGGUCGACACUCCUCACAUGAUAAGCUUCUUCAUCCUAAUACCCUUGUUAUACGCAUAGUGUGAUCAGAAAAGAGGUCAGCCUGCAUGAAGAGUCAUUGGUCGAAAAAUCCCACACUUCGCAUCCUUGGUCUGUGCGAAUGAGUUGGAAAAAAUAGGGGGCCAAGUAAAAAUCUGGUCUGUACUAGCAUGUCAAACAGCCCCAACUUCUAGUUUCCUUCUCAACCGGUGUUGUGUGAAUAAAAGAAUAACAAGUCUGAUUUUUGUUUCUCUUCUUUGCUGGACUUGGGUUCAGAUUGUGAGCCCAUAGCAUCAUUUUUCGUUUCCCUAUGCGCUAGUUAGAAGAACAAUCAAGCUGAGUUAUCCUCUCCUUCUUGCUACAAACCGUGAACCCUUAAGAAAUAAACCACUCUUCAAGUCUUUUCUCUUCCCCACUGAUUCGGCAAAGUGCAGCAAACAUGGGGAUUUCAACAUAAACUCACCAUCCAUCUUUCCCUCUUGUUCGGCCGAAGCCUCACCUCAAGGAAAGGAGUCCGCCUUGCUUAAGUCUUUCCAUCCUUUGCAUGCAGCUGGAUCGGAUCCUUUGGAGCAUGAGACGUUGAGGGUGCAUUCCUAUUCUUUCUCCUCUUGUGCUCGGCCAAACACCUUGAAGUAUGAGGUGAUGCGGUUUUUUUUUAUUAUUCCUCUGUUCCUAUGUGUCCCAUUCUGUUUUAAUGGAGCCUUUGCAUGCAUAUUUUGUUUUGUGAAAUUCGGUGUAGUAAGAGUGUGAAUAUACAAGCACAAAACUUGUUGGCUAUCUCGUUAGUGAUGGCGAAAUCGGUGUUUUGCAAGGAGGUAAAUAUACUGAACAAUCAAGUUCCUAUUCUCUUCUUUGGUCUCGGUCACAUCAUGUAGGCUAGGAAGUUUCUUGUUGUUAUCUUCUUCUUUCGGUUCAGCAUAAAAGACCGAACUCUUGGAGUACAUGUAAGUUUAAUAUAACUCAAUUAAGAGCUGGGAAACAGUUACUGUGACUUAGAGAGGCUGUUCUUUGAAUUAGAAAAUGGUAGUGGCUUUGCAUGUGUUUAAAAAUGUGUAGACCGUAUGCUGGAAGAAUUAAAUAAGCCAUGCUCAUGUGAUGCUGUUAGUAUUUUGAUGUUGUGAGUAUUUUGUAAAUGAAAUUAGGAACCAGGCCUUGAAUGCAUUAAGAACCAGUUAGACAGCAUGUUAAAUCGCCCUACCAAUCUCCUAAGAUGGGUAGAACAUGUAGGUAAAUAAAAGGUUAAAACCCUUAGGUGAUGACUUCACGAACUGAAUUUUGUUUGCAAGAAGAACCUUAGAUGCUUUCGUUUGAUCACCUUUGGUAGUGCACCUUAAAUCUGAAAAUUUAUUAAGUCUUGAGUCUUAGGAUUCGAUGAUUAACCAAGUACUAAGGAGAGUGGGGACUCUAUGUAAUGUGUAGAACUAAUAAGAUAAAUAUGUUAAGUACCUAAUGUUGAUUUAGAACCAAAAAGGUAGGUACAGAAUACUUUGGUUUGAUCAAUUAAGGGCCAUUGAUAAAUUAAAUCUGUGUAAAGAAUAAUUUGUGGCAACUAAUUAAGGGUAAAGACAACCGAAGUAAAUAGGGAUUUACAUUUGUGUCAUUUGUUAAUCUUUGGCAAAGUUAAAGUUAAAACGGAAAAUUAAAUGACAUGAGAUGCAUGAUAAAUUGAUUUAAAUCGUAAGAGUUAAAAGCAUGAAAAAAAUUAGUUAAAGGUCAUAAAAUAUAUUUUUUCUUAUGUAAACCAUGAAAACCGAACCUGUGCAUAUUGUGGACCUUGGAAUAAUUGUGAUUACUAGUAAUGAUGAAAUGGUCUUAAGGGCAGAAUAUAAUUGGCACUAGGAACCUUAUAUUUCGAUGAAAGUAUAUAAAUUAGAAGCCUAGAAAUUAUUGGUGACUUAUAGGGAUAAUUGUAUAAAAUUCUGACUUGGUACAAUGGUAUAUUAGGUGCGCUAAACCCUUAGACCGUGCACUGUUUUGCGGCUCAUUGGUAAAUUAAUUGUGGCACGCGAGGUAUGUGUUAGGCGGUAUUACCUGAUGUGACUAUUGACUAGUGUAUGAAUUGUGAAUUGUUGCUCACAUGUGCCUUAUGAUUAUUCGACCAUAAAUGAUGAAAUUAUUCUGCCUAUGGAAAUGUUAUGAUUAUGGAAAUUCUGUUAUGAAAAGAACGAAUGGCUUGGCAGUAUGGCAUCCAAUGUACAUGAAGUAUAUGUUAUGAAAUGAUGAUAUAUGCAUGCACCGUACAUCAUACCGCACUUGUCUUUCUGUUUGUGUGUGACAGCAUAGCAUGGCAUGCAUGUACCAAAUUCAUGUUAGUCUUGAGUCUUAGAAUAGUUAUCUACAGGAUCAUGUGAUUGAGCACGCAUCAUAUAGGCAUCCCUUGAUAUCAGGGUACUGGGACAGUUGGCGUCAGUCCGCAUAGGCCACAGUGGAAUUCCCCAAAUGAUGGUGUUGUGCAUGGAAUUUCCACUGUGAUGGCACGCGCACGACGAUGCUAUGAGCGUGAUGAAGGCGUUAUAUACGCAAUAUGAUAUAUGAUGAAAUGGAUAUAUGAUGAAAAGGUUAUAAGAUGAAAAGGAUUUCAUGUUUGAAGCGACUGUUUAUAUUUUGUGCCUAGUUUAAUACUGUUGCAUUAUUGGUUUUGUUGCCACACUACUGGGAUUUCUCUCACCCCUUUGGGGCUGCUAUUUUUACAAAAUGGACGUAAAAGCUUUUGAGGACUUGGAUAUUUGUUGUUGGCUUCUAUUGUUUUGGACAUGCUGCUAUUGAUAUGAUAUUUUAUGGAUGACUGUAUGAAAUUGAGAAGCUUUUAUUAUUGUGAACUAUGAUUUUAUUAUUGCAUUACGAUUUUAUGACCAACAAGUAUUAUGGAAACAGAUGUUGAAACGUUUGCGAAAA